This 253-nucleotide ribosomal RNA is filed under the name uncultured bacterium. RNAcentral describes it as "partial 16S ribosomal RNA". It matches the Rfam family "Bacterial small subunit ribosomal RNA", at positions 524 to 776 of the family's 1533-position model. The record is from RNAcentral.
GACAGAGGGUGCAAACGUUGUUCGGAAUUACUGGGCGUAAAGCGAGUGUAGGCGGUUUGGUAAGUCGGAUGUGAAAGCCCCGGGCUCAACCCGGGAAGUGCACUCGAUACUGCCAAGCUAGAGUAUCGGAGAGGUUGGUGGAAUUCUCGGUGUAGAGGUGAAAUUCGUAGAUAUCGAGAGGAACACCGGUGGCGAAGGCGGCCAACUGGACGAAUACUGACGCUGAGACUCGGAAGCGUGGGGAGCAAACAGG